This 106-nucleotide small nuclear RNA is filed under the name Octodon degus (degu). Lineage: Eukaryota; Metazoa; Chordata; Mammalia; Rodentia; Octodontidae. The record is from RNAcentral.
UUGAUUUAGCAGCACAUAUGCUAGAAUUGGAACCGUAGCAAGAAUAUUAGCAUGGCCCAUGCACAAGGAUGGUGACACCCAAGUCCAUGAAGUGUUCCCAGAAUGC